This 65-nucleotide transfer RNA is filed under the name Papilio polytes (common Mormon). RNAcentral describes it as "tRNA-Tyr". Lineage: Eukaryota; Metazoa; Arthropoda; Insecta; Lepidoptera; Papilionidae. The record is from RNAcentral.
AUAAAAUGGCUGAAUAAUAAGCGAUAAAUUGUAAAUUUAUUUAUGAGAAUGAUCUCUUUUAUUAA